RNAcentral lists this transfer RNA (72 nucleotides) under Camelus ferus (Wild Bactrian camel). It matches the Rfam family "tRNA". Rfam says of the family: Transfer RNA (tRNA) molecules are approximately 80 nucleotides in length. Lineage: Eukaryota; Metazoa; Chordata; Mammalia; Artiodactyla; Camelidae. The record is from Rfam by way of RNAcentral.
GAGGGUAUGGCUCAGUGGUAGAGCGCAUGCCUAGCGUGCCUGAGAUCGUGGGUUCAAUCCCCAGUACCUCUG